UCUUCUCUUGUGCCAUUCAUGAUCAAUGAUCUUUACCAUCAUCACCAACUCUACAAUUAACUUCCUCUCUUCCUAUUCCUUGCCACAAAUGAUGUUCACCAUCAUUCUUGUUAGCUCCACGAUCAUCUUCCUCUCUUUUGGCCAUUUCAACCUAUGAUUUUUACUACUUAUCACCGACUUUACAAUUCUUUUUCUCUCUCAUCAUCCACUAUAACCAACGAUCUUUUCCACCAUCAUCAGCUCCACAAUCCUCUUCCUCUCUUCUAUUCAUUGCUGCCAAUUAUCUUCACCACCAUAACUGGCUCUCCAUUUUUUUUCUUUCUCUCCCCACAUUGCCUUGGGUGUCAUAUUUGUCAUCUUCACCAUUCAAAAAUAAAGAAAUAGAAGCAAAUGAGAAUCACAUUUCUUUCUUCUUUUCAUAAUAGAUUUUAUGGUUGCCAUUGCACCACCAUAGUUACUAUUCACUGGGAAAGAGGAAGAGGAGGAUAAGAAUUAGGUAGCCACCACCAUCUUUUAUCUUCAAAAAUAGAAAGGAGG
RNAcentral lists this long non-coding RNA (537 nucleotides) under Elaeis guineensis (African oil palm). RNAcentral's name for it is "long non-coding RNA (EGUI_LNC031821)". Lineage: Eukaryota; Viridiplantae; Streptophyta; Magnoliopsida; Arecales; Arecaceae. The record is from RNAcentral.